CAGUAGCCGCGGGAACACGUAGGGUGCGAGCGUUGAUCGGAAUUACUGGGCGUAAAGCGUGCGCAGGCGGUUGUGUAAGACAGGUGUGAAAUCCCCGGGCUUAACCUGGGAACUGCGCUUGUGACUGCACAGCUAGAGUAUGGCAGAGGGGGGUGGAAUUCCACGUGUAGCAGUGAAAUGCGUAGAGAUGUGGAGGAACACCGAUGGCGAAGGCAGCCCCCUGGGCCAAUACUGACGCUCAUGCACGAAAGCGUGGGGAGCGAACAGGAUUAGAUACCCCUGUAGUCCCUGUCUCUUAUAC
This 301-nucleotide ribosomal RNA is filed under the name uncultured bacterium. RNAcentral describes it as "partial 16S ribosomal RNA". It matches the Rfam family "Bacterial small subunit ribosomal RNA", at positions 509 to 807 of the family's 1533-position model. The record is from RNAcentral.